AAAGUGACAAAAAUUAUAUUGAUUUUUGAAUUGCCAUAAAGUGGGAAGAGUUUUUGUUGGGCAUAUUGAAGCUGCAAGUUAUAAAACCGACAAGAACACAAAAAGACGACGAGCAGUAUUCCCCCUUGGAUUCCUAUCGGUGCUGAAGCUAAUCAUUUUUGGAGCACGUUUGGAGGUUUUCUUUUGGGGCUGCUAUCUAACCUGCAAAAGUGAUUAACUGUGUGCUGUAUGCUCUAGUGUUGCUGCUGUUGGUACAGUUAGCUGUAAGAACUGAUUAUGCCAUUGUUGCUAGCAAACUACUAUCAGCAACAUCAGCGGCAGCAGCAACAUCGGCGGGAGCAGCAACGGCAGCAACAGCAACAACAGAAGCAAAAGCAAAAGCAACAUCAGCAGGUUGCCAGCACAAACGGCAUGUUACUUGAAUACAAAAGCUAUUGCAAUACAAAUCAGGCUAGCAACAACAACAACAACAACAACAACAACGAUCACCGACAGCUGUGUCCAGCGGAAGCACUAACAAUGUCAACGCCGACAACAACAACCAAAUACAAAAUCAAUGGCGAGGCCAAUGAAAGCGUUGCUGCCAGUACACUGCUUUACCAUCAUGCACAUCAUCAUCUUAAUCAUCAUCAGCAGCUCAGUGGUCUGCACAAUCAUCAUCAUCAUCACCAGCAGCAGCAGUCGCAGCAGCAGCAACAACAACAGCAUCAUCAACAACAUUUGCUGCUUCAGCAGCAACUCCUGCAGCAACAUGUGGCCAGCAGUUCGCCGCUGCAGCAUUUGAGCAAUCUUUUUGGCCAGCAUUUGCCUACGCAGAGUCUGCAGCAUUUGAUAGCCGCCGAGUACUGGCAGCAACAACAACAGCAACAGCACACAGCAACAACAAUUAAAAGCGAGCCAACAACUCAAUCAGCAGCGGCAACCUCGGCCUUUGCAGCAACAGCAACAGCAACAUCGGUCUUUGGUUUCACGCCUCAGCAACACGUCAAUUUGGCAGCCUCGUUAGUCGCCUUAAAGCAAAACGAUCCUGUGGCCGUGGCUGCAAUGGUGCCCAGCCCCACAGAAAUGCCCGGCGCACCGAAAAGAGCGGCAACUGCAACAGCAACAACUACGACAGCAGCAACAUUGCAGGCGCCAAAAGCAACGGCAGAAUCAACAGCCUGCGGAACAAUUGACGAAGACGAAAACGAAGACCACGACAACGAAGACGAAGACGGGGCUGAUAAUGAUGACAGCAACUGCAGCAACAGCAUGCAAAAUCCAGGCGUUGGCAACUUUAAAUUCGAGCCAAGUCAACAGCUUGUGGCCGUGAAUGAAACCAACCUAACGAGCCCCAGAUCCCAGUCCACAUCCACCUCCAGUUCCAUGUCCCGCUCCGUUUGCGGUGCUCGCGACUCGAACAAAGAUGAAACUUUGACUGCUGUUGACACAAAUAUGCGCAAUGUCAGCGCAAAUCACAGUGGCUCCUACUGCUGUUCAUCCUCACAGCAGUCCUCCACCUCCUCCACCUCCUCCCAGUCCUCCCAGUCGCGCGCAUCCAACGAUGAAACGAUGGAACACGACGAUGAUGAUGAUGAGCAAGACCAGAAGCCAACGCUUGAAUUGAAGCUGCAGUCGUGUGAUGAAUAUGUUGAGCAGCCAAAGGAUGAACCAGCAGGACAGCAGACGGCCAACGACAAUGCUUCAGCGCCUUUGCAGCUGAAAACGGAGCCCGAACAGGAGCAGGGACUCGGAGUGGGAAUGGGACUCGGACUAGGACUGACUGGAGCAGCAGCAGCAGUUGCUCUCUAUGGACACUUGAACAAUGUUAGCAAGGAUGUGAGGGACUCGGAGCAAUGCCUGAAAUUGCAGGACCCAAAUGAUAUCAGCCGCCUGUCGCGCUCGCCGUCGCCACUGCAAUCGAAUGCUUCCGAUUGCGAUGACAACAACUCGAGUGUCGGCACCUCCAGUGAUCGCUGCAGAUCCCCGCUCAGUCCGGCGCUCUCGCUGACCCAUCAGCAGGCCAAGCGGCAGCUGCUGUCGCUGCCACAUCCGGCACAUCAUCAUCACCAUCAUUUGAGUCAUCUGAACCACCAGCAGUACAAGCAGGAGGAGGACUACGAGGAUGCCAAUGGUGGAGCACUCAAUCUGACCAGCGACAACUCGCGUCACAGCACGCAGUCGCCUGCCAAUUCGGUCAAGUCCACCAUCACGUCUCCGCCUCAGAUGACAGUGCCCUCGCCCGUGCCGCCCAUGAUCUCGCCUGUGCUGCCGCUGCCGCUGCCACAUGUGGCCAGUGGGGGAGAUGCCGCACCCAAUUCGAUGGCAGCAGCGGCUGCCGCAGCCGCCGCCAUGGCCAAUACAGUGGCCAGUGGCAUCUCGCCGUUGUUGGCCAUGCCGGACAUGUCCUCGCCGCAGGCACAACUGGCAGCCGCUGGUCUGGGACUCAACAAUCCGCUGCUGACGGGUACGCUCUCCCCCCAGGACUUUGCACAGUUCCAGCAGCUGCUGCAGCAGCGGCAAGUGGCGCUCCAGCAGCAGUUCAACAGCUACAUGGAGCUGCUGCGCAGCGGAUCGUUGGGUCUGGCACAGGAUGAUCCCGCACUGACCACCCAGGUGGCGGCCGCCCAGUUCCUAAUGCAGAGCCAGUUGCAGGCCCUCGGCCAGGCCACGCAGCAGCUGCAGGCACUGCAGAAGCAACAGCAGCGCCAACAACUGCAACAGCAACAGCAGCAGCAGCAGCAGCAGCAGCAGGACGAGUCCAUGCCGUUGGCUUUGCCGCUGCACAAUCCGAGUCACCACCACCACAUGCAGCCGCGCAGCUCCACGCCGCACUCCUCACGCAGUCCCAUGGCUGUGCGUAGUCCGGCCAGCUCGCCCCCGCAGCUCCAUCAUCCGCUGCAGAUCACGCCGCCCAGUUCGGCGGCCAGCAUUAAGAUGAGCGGCGGCAUGUUGACUCCCAGCACACCCACCAGCGGCACCCACCAGAUGCACGGCACCACCACGCCGCAGCCCAAGACGGUGGCCAGUGCGGCGGCGGCGCGUGCCGCAGGCGAACCCUCGCCGGAGGAGACCACCGACCUGGAGGAGCUGGAACAGUUUGCCAAGACCUUCAAGCAGCGACGCAUCAAGCUCGGGUUCACCCAGGGCGACGUGGGACUGGCCAUGGGCAAGCUGUACGGGAAUGACUUCUCGCAGACGACCAUCUCGCGGUUUGAGGCGCUCAAUCUGAGCUUCAAGAACAUGUGCAAGCUGAAGCCGCUGCUGCAGAAGUGGCUGGACGAUGCCGAUCGCACCAUCCAGGCCACCGGCGGAGUCUUCGAUCCGGCUGCCCUACAGGCCACCGUCAGCACGCCGGAGAUUAUUGGUCGUCGCCGCAAGAAGCGCACCUCCAUCGAGACUACGAUUCGGGGAGCACUCGAGAAGGCGUUCAUGGCCAACCAGAAGCCCACCUCGGAGGAGAUCAGUCAGCUGGCCGAUCGCCUUGGCAUGGAGAAGGAAGUGGUCCGUGUGUGGUUCUGCAAUCGUCGGCAGAAGGAGAAGCGCAUCAAUCCCUCGCUCGAUAGUCCCACGGGUGCGGAUGAUGAUGAGUCGUCGUCCUACAUGAUGCACUAGGAGGAUAUGUAAGGAUGUUAUCUAGGGACAAAGACAGUGCAAUGUGCAGACAGGACAAAAAGUGAGCGAGGAAACUAAGCAAAAACCUUAUGAGCAGGUUCAAAGUCGCAAACACACAUCAAAUAUUAGCAUAAUUCUGGACUAAAAUUAGGUUCCUCCAACAGUAAUAAAAGGGGUUUGUUUAUGUUAACUAUUAAUGGUAUUUAUUGCAGGCGUAAUUGUAAUGUUCAACAAUUCAACGAAAAUAUUGCUAAUCAAGUGAACAACGGACUGUACUUGGAGCUAAAUGCUCUUGGAGCAGAAAGUUCACUUGAUUACCGACAUUUCUGUAGGCCAUAGGGAAUUCGAAUGCUCUUGCCACCGAUGGGGAACCGAAUUUCCUGCCCUCGAUAGCAAAUCGACUUUCCUGCCUGCCUUGAGCAGGAUUCCCUUCGAUUUCCCUAUGGCCCUCCGCAACACUGUCUAAUUGUCUGUGUAUUAUUAAUAUUUAAGUACCAGUCUCUGCACACAAUUUUCAAAGUCAAAACAAAAAUGAAUUCCUAGCGAAUACCCAUACAAAUAAUAUGCAUAAAAUAUUUUAAAUGUUCCCUAAAACACACAAAAAAACAAAAACAAAACAAGAAAGUGAAGUACAUUUUUAGGGCAUAUUUAUUUUUCGCGUGAAUACUGUGAUAAUCAAUUUGAAUGAUUUUAGUUUUAAUUUAAAAACAAAA
Drosophila guanche is the source of this 4307-nucleotide RNA transcript. It is a transcript of the gene named protein nubbin, with no coding region annotated. The record is from RefSeq and is a predicted model, not a curated record. The transcript is spliced from 6 exons. NCBI's taxonomy places the organism in Eukaryota, Metazoa, Arthropoda, Insecta, Diptera, Drosophilidae.